RNAcentral lists this ribosomal RNA (384 nucleotides) under uncultured bacterium. Its description in RNAcentral is "bacterial SSU rRNA". It matches the Rfam family "Bacterial small subunit ribosomal RNA", at positions 30 to 414 of the family's 1533-position model. The record is from RNAcentral.
AUUGAACGCUGGCGGCAUGCCUUACACAUGCAAGUCGAACGGCAGCACGGGAGCAAUCCUGGUGGCGAGUGGCGAACGGGUGAGUAAUAUAUCGGAACGUGCCCAGUCGUGGGGAUAACGUAGCGAAAGCUACGCUAAUACCGCAUACGAUCUAUGGAUGAAAGCGGGGGAUCGCAAGACCUCGCGCGAUUGGAGCGGCCGAUAUCAGAUUAGGUAGUUGGUGAGGUAAAGGCUCACCAAGCCGACGAUCUGUAGCUGGUCUGAGAGGACGACCAGCCACACUGGGACUGAGACACGGCCCAGACUCCUACGGGAGGCAGCAGUGGGGAAUUUUGGACAAUGGGCGGCAAGCCUGAUCCAGCAAUGCCGCGUGCAGGAUGAAGG